AUUAAAAUGACUAGCCAAGUCAAUAUUGCAACUCAUCCACUUAUAUUCACCCUUAAAUUUUUUUCCCCCCAAUGUCGGAUGUGUAAUCCCAACAGAUACCUUACCCAAAUGGUAAGAGUAACAACCUUGUGGGUUAAGGGUUUGAUCAAAAUGAUAAAAUUAAUAUGUGUUUGCACACACACACACACACUUCAAUUAAAAAGUGACUAACAUAUUGACAAAAA
This 224-nucleotide unclassified non-coding RNA is filed under the name Hevea brasiliensis (rubber tree). Lineage: Eukaryota; Viridiplantae; Streptophyta; Magnoliopsida; Malpighiales; Euphorbiaceae. The record is from RNAcentral.